AUACGGAGAGUGCGAGCGUUGUUCGGAAUUAUUGGGCGUAAAGGGCGUCUAGGUGGCCCGGCAAGUCAGAUGUGAAAUCCCUCGGCUUAACCGAGGACGUGCAUUUGAAACUGCUGGGCUUGAGUAUCGGAGGGGGCAGCGGAAUUCCCGGUGUAGAGGUGAAAUUCGUAGAUAUCGGGAGGAACACCAGUGGCGAAGGCGGCUGCCUGGCCGGAUACUGACACUGAAGCGCGAAAGCGUGGGGAGCAAACAGGAUUAGAAACCCGAGUAGUCC
Molecule: ribosomal RNA, 274 nt
Filed under: uncultured bacterium
Lineage: Bacteria
Description: partial 16S ribosomal RNA
Rfam family: Bacterial small subunit ribosomal RNA
Source: RNAcentral